AAAGUACUCCCUCCGUCCCAAAAUUCUUGUCUUAGAUUUGUUUAGAUACAGAUGUAUCAAGUCACAUUUUAGUAUUAGAUACAUCUGUAUCUAGCCAAAUCUAAGACAAGAAAUUUGGGACAGAGGGAGUAGUUG
Molecule: non-coding RNA, 135 nt
Organism: Triticum aestivum (bread wheat)
Lineage: Eukaryota; Viridiplantae; Streptophyta; Magnoliopsida; Poales; Poaceae
Source: Rfam